RNAcentral lists this transfer RNA (69 nucleotides) under Marmota marmota marmota (Alpine marmot). It matches the Rfam family "tRNA". From Rfam's summary of the family: Transfer RNA (tRNA) molecules are approximately 80 nucleotides in length. Their secondary structure includes four short double-helical elements and three loops (D, anti-codon, and T loops). RNAcentral also lists the same sequence under 1 other name. The record is from Rfam by way of RNAcentral. Lineage: Eukaryota; Metazoa; Chordata; Mammalia; Rodentia; Sciuridae.
GGAGUUGUGGCUCAGAGGUAGAGCACUUGCCUAGUAUGCUUGAGGCACUGGGCUCGAUUCUCAGCACCA